AGAGCUGUAGCUCAGUGGCAGAGCACUUGCCUCGAAGGUGUGAGACCCUGGGUUCAAUUCUCAGCACCACAU
This is a non-coding RNA of Ictidomys tridecemlineatus (thirteen-lined ground squirrel), 72 nucleotides long. NCBI's taxonomy places the organism in Eukaryota, Metazoa, Chordata, Mammalia, Rodentia, Sciuridae. The record is from Rfam.